This 406-nucleotide ribosomal RNA is filed under the name uncultured bacterium. Its description in RNAcentral is "partial 16S ribosomal RNA". It matches the Rfam family "Bacterial small subunit ribosomal RNA", at positions 30 to 526 of the family's 1533-position model. The record is from RNAcentral.
AUUGAACGCUGGCGGCAGGCCUAACACAUGCAAGUCGAACGAGUGGCGGACGGGUGAGUAAUGUCUGGGAACCUGCCCGAUGGAGGGGGAUAACUACUGGAAACGGUAGCUAAUACCGCAUACCAUCGGAUGUGCCCAGGUGGGAUUAGCUAGGUGGUGGGGUAACGGCUCACCUGGGCGACGAUCCCUAGCUGGUCUGAGAGGGUGACCAGCCACACUGGAACUGAGACACGGUCCAGACUCCUACGGGAGGCAGCAGUGGGGAAUAUUGCACAAUGGGCGAAAGCCUGAUGCAGCCAUGCCGCGUGUAUGAAGAAGGCCUUCGGGUUGUAAAGUACUGUCAGCGGGGAGGCGUUACCCGCAGAAGAAGCACCGGCUAACUCCGUGCCAGCAGCCGCGGUAAUUC